GUGUGCGUUGUUCGAAACCAUCCAACGUAAAAAAACUAGGAGGAA
Molecule: non-coding RNA, 45 nt
Rfam family: PreQ1 (pre queuosine) riboswitch aptamer
About the family: This family is a bacterial riboswitch that binds to the metabolite preQ1, an intermediate in the biosynthesis of the modified nucleoside queuosine from GTP.